Molecule: ribosomal RNA, 1343 nt
Filed under: uncultured bacterium
Lineage: Bacteria
Description: 16S ribosomal RNA
Rfam family: Bacterial small subunit ribosomal RNA
Source: RNAcentral
GACGAACGCUUUCGGCGUGCUUAACACAUGCAAGUCGAACGGAAAGGCCCUGCUUUUGUGGGGUGCUCGAGUGGCGAACGGGUGAGUAACACGUGAGUAACCUGCCCUUGACUUUGGGAUAACUUCAGGAAACUGGGGCUAAUACCGGAUAGGAGCUCCUGCUGCAUGGUGGGGGUUGGAAAGUUUCGGCGGUUGGGGAUGGACUCGCGGCUUAUCAGCUUGUUGGUGGGGUAGUGGCUUACCAAGGCUUUGACGGGUAGCCGGCCUGAGAGGGUGACCGGCCACAUUGGGACUGAGAUACGGCCCAGACUCCUACGGGAGGCAGCAGUGGGGAAUAUUGCACAAUGGGCGGAAGCCUGAUGCAGCAACGCCGCGUGCGGGAUGACGGCCUUCGGGUUGUAAACCGCUUUCGCCUGUGACGAAGCGUGAGUGACGGUAAUGGGUAAAGAAGCACCGGCUAACUACGUGCCAGCAGCCGCGGUGAUACGUAGGGUGCGAGCGUUGUCCGGAUUUAUUGGGCGUAAAGGGCUCGUAGGUGGUUGAUCGCGUCGGAAGUGUAAUCUUGGGGCUUAACCCUGAGCGUGCUUUCGAUACGGGUUGACUUGAGGAAGGUAGGGGAGAAUGGAAUUCCUGGUGGAGCGGUGGAAUGCGCAGAUAUCAGGAGGAACACCAGUGGCGAAGGCGGUUCUCUGGGCCUUUCCUGACGCUGAGGAGCGAAAGCGUGGGGAGCGAACAGGCUUAGAUACCCUGGUAGUCCACGCUGUAAACGGUGGGUACUAGGUGUGGGGUCCAUUCCACGGGUUCCGUGCCGUAGCUAACGCUUUAAGUACCCCGCCUGGGGAGUACGGCCGCAAGGCUAAAACUCAAAGGAAUUGACGGGGCCCCGCACAAGCGGCGGAGCAUGCGGAUUAAUUCGAUGCAACGCGUAGAACCUUACCUGGGUUUGACAUGGAUCGGGAGUGCUCAGAGAUGGGUGUGCCUCUUUUGGGGUCGGUUCACAGGUGGUGCAUGCCUGUCGUCAGCUCGUGUCGUGAGAUGUUGGGUUAAGUCCCGCAACGAGCGCAACCCUUGUUCACUGUUGCCAGCACGUUAUGGUGGGGACUCAGUGGAGACCGCCGGGGUCAACUCGGAGGAAGGUGGGGAUGACGUCAAGUCAUCAUGCCCCUUAUGUCCAGGGCUUCACGCAUGCUACAAUGGCUGGUACAGAGAGUGGCGAGCCUGUGAGGGUGAGCGAAUCUCGGAAAGCCGGUCUCAGUUCGGAUUGGGGUCUGCAACUCGACCUCAUGAAGUCGGAGUCGCUAGUAAUCGCAGAUCAGCAACGCUGCGGUGAAUACGUUCCCGGG